AGCAGCCGCGGUAAUUCCAGCUCCAAUAGCGUAUAUUAAAGUUGUUGCAGUUAAAAAGCUCGUAGUUGAAUUUCGGGAUCAGUUGGUCGGUCGUGCCUCGGUACGUACUGGUCAAAUUGAUUCCUACCUUCUGACGAACCACGAUGUCAUUAAUUUGGUGUCGCGGGAAAUCAGGACUGUUACUUUGAAAAAAUUAGAGUGUUUAAAGCAGGCUCGCGCUUGAAUACAUUAGCAUGGAAUAAUGAAAUAGGACGUUUGAUUCUAUUUUGUUGGUUUCUAGGAUCGACGUAAUGAUUAAUAGGGAUAGUUGGGGGCAUUAGUAUUCAAUUGUCAGAGGUGAAAUUCUUGGAUUUAUUGAAGACUAACUACUGCGAAAGCAUUUGCCAAGGAUGUUUUCAUUAAUCAAGAACGAAAGUUAGGGGAUCGAAGACGAUCAGAUACCGUCGUAGUCUUAACCAUAAACUAUAGCCGACUAGGGAUCGGAUGAUGUUAAUUUUUUAAUGACUCAUUUCGGCGCCUU
RNAcentral lists this ribosomal RNA (520 nucleotides) under uncultured Glomus. Its description in RNAcentral is "SSU rRNA". It matches the Rfam family "Eukaryotic small subunit ribosomal RNA", at positions 569 to 1089 of the family's 1831-position model. The record is from RNAcentral. Lineage: Eukaryota; Fungi; Glomeromycota; Glomeromycetes; Glomerales; Glomeraceae.